AUAUCUCUCCGUACGGGAAGGAUGAGAAGCUUCGACCAAGGUUCGAUUCGAGCGCAGCGAGAACGCGUUGCCGCAGGCAACGACCCGAAGGGCGAAGC
This 98-nucleotide small RNA is filed under the name Salmonella enterica subsp. enterica serovar Heidelberg. RNAcentral describes it as "partial RtT sRNA". It matches the Rfam family "RtT RNA", at positions 1 to 97 of the family's 130-position model. Rfam says of the family: This family represents a bacterial cis-regulatory element known as RtT RNA. Lineage: Bacteria; Pseudomonadati; Pseudomonadota; Gammaproteobacteria; Enterobacterales; Enterobacteriaceae. RNAcentral also lists the same sequence under 1 other name. The record is from RNAcentral.